GCAGCUUUUGAUAACAGAAGUUGCAAACGUUUCCAAGGGACCUGUGAUUCUUGUUAUAAUGUCCGGAGGUGGCAUGGAUGUAUCAUUUGCAAAGACUAAUGACAAAAUCACAAGCAUCCUAUGGGUUGGCUACCCUGGAGAAGCUGGUGGAGCUGCCAUAGCUGAUGUGAUUUUUGGGUAUUACAAUCCAAGUGGAAGACUUCCAAUGACAUGGUAUCCACAAUCAUAUGUGGACAAAGUACCAAUGACAAACAUGAACAUGAGACCAGAUCCUUCUACUGGUUAUCCAGGUAGAACCUAUAGAUUCUACACAGGAGAAACUGUUUAUUCGUUCGGAGAUGGGCUGAGCUAUUCCAAAUUUGAGCACAAACUAGUUCGAGCACCUAAAUUAGUAUCUGUCCCGUUGGAGGAAGACCAUGCUUGUCGAUCGUCGAAAUGCAUAUCAAUUGAUGCUGUAGAGCAGACUUGUCAAAAUUUAGCUUUUGAUGUACAUUUGAAAGUUAAAAAUACAGGAAAAAUUAGAGGAAGCCAUACAGUGUUCUUGUUCUCUACACCUCCAUCAGUGCACAAUUCACCACAGAAGCAUUUGGUGGAUUUUGAGAAGGUUUCUUUGGACGCACAAACAGUUGGAAUGGUGCAAUUUAAGGUGGAUGUAUGCAAG
Molecule: unclassified non-coding RNA, 661 nt
Filed under: Hevea brasiliensis (rubber tree)
Lineage: Eukaryota; Viridiplantae; Streptophyta; Magnoliopsida; Malpighiales; Euphorbiaceae
Source: RNAcentral